UAAAAACGAGGAGGGAGGGGGAUGGGGAGACCCAUGCCCCCAGCCCCUGUUCCCUCUGUCCAUCGGUCCCUCCGCUUGGUCCCUGCAGCCAGCAGCUACACAGGCAUGGGCAUCUCAUUGUACUCGUCCACACCCUCCCGCUCGUCGAACACAGGCUCUGCCUCGUUAGCAUCCAGCUGUUGAGGGGGAGAUGGGUGUUAGGAAGAUGCGAGUGAGCACCACCAUGCGGAGCGGCACUGUGAGGAUGAGGAUGAAGGGGAAGGCCAGAGAGGCAGCUGUGGACAUGACGGCCCAGAGCAGGGCUAGGCAGAGCAGCUGCAGGGCUGUGAACAGGCGCCACAGCCUUGCUCAUGACAGUGAGCGCGUUGGCAUGAGUGACGGAACGGACGGUGGCAGCAGCUAACCAUGGCAGGCCAAAGAGGGCACAGAUGCCACCCAUGGCCACGAUCAGCAGCAGGUCCAGGUGGAAGCCGGAGCCCUUCUGCAGCAUGCGCUCCUUCUUGGAGAUGAUCAGCCUGGAUGGGAAGAGGCCUCUUUCACUGAGGCCCAGGCUCUGGGGACAGCCAGCCUGGCAGACAGCCAUGUCCUUCCAGGGUGCCCCUGCCAAUCAUCUCUUGUCUGUGUUUGGAACCUGGUGGUUCCUGACCAUUCCCCCUGCCCUGGCCUGUUUUCUUUCAGAACCAGAAGUCCCUAAGGGAACUGAACCCUCCCUGCUCAGCCCACCCUCCAGCACAGCUCCCACCAAGCACUGCAAGGCUAGCCGUCACCUUUACUCUAUCCCAUCACAGCACUGUUGUGCUCAGCAAAUGUCAGUGAGAUUUUACGCUGCCUACAAAAUAAACUCCAGCAGCCAGCCUGGUGUUCCAGGUCCUCCGAGUCCAUGGGGUCCCCUCCAUCGACGUGGCUUUGGUUCCCAUGCUGUGCUCCCCGGCCUGGCCCAGAACAACUCACGUGGUGAUCUGCGUCUCCAUGAAGAUGAGGAUGAAGACCAGGAUGGCCGGCAACAAGCUGGCAACCAUCAUCCACACCGGGAAGGGGCUCUUCUCCCCCAGGGGGUUGAUGACCCAGCCCCGUUUUUCAGGGGCUGUCACCGAGAAUCCACUGGGCACACUCAACUUCUAUAAGGCAGAGGACAGGUUGGGGGGAGAGGGGCAGGGUGAGAACCAUGGUGGGGACAGCCCUGAGGUUCACGGGGCAGAAUGAGAGCUGGCAUGCUGUGGAAAAGGCCAGCUUCAGAGGGGCUGGGGGCUGGAGGGGACACCCAGAACCCAGGGUGGUGGGAGCAUCCCGGGACCAGGUGGUACCCACUCGUUGCUAGGCCCUUACCUGGGUGUAGGUGUCCUCAAUACUGUAAUCCACAAGCACCAUGAUGAGGAUUGCGAUGGGCACCCCAAAGUCCCCAAUCACCCGCCGGAUCUGUGUGGGCAAGCGCCAUGUUCAAAGGCCUCCCAACCCCUCCCCACUCCAGUCCCUUAUUUCCUUUCACUCACCACUUUUCCUACCCUCAGCACCCAUCCCCGCUAGCCUUCGCACCCACGCACCCGACCAGGGAAGAACCGGCUGUUCUUGAACUUGCGCAGGAAGAAGGCAAUGAAGAAGGUGCUGGCCAUUAGCACCAGCGACAGCAGGGCUGUAUUGGGCUGGCCCCGGGGCUUCUCCUGCCCGGGCUGCCCAGCCGAGCUCCCAUUCCCCAGCCCCGACAUUGUUCUUGCCCCAUCCCAUGUCUUAUUCUCGCCGCCGUCUGCCUCUGAGCUGUUGGAGAAUGAACAGCCAUGGAGUGGAUGCUCCUGGAAGAUCUGGGAAGAGGAGGGCCACAGAAGACUACCAUCAGUCAGAGAUGAUUUCCUGUGCUCAGCUGUAUGCUACCAGAGGGAUGGGGUGGGCCUGCUGCCUUCCAAGAUCUUAUCUCAUUGGAUUAAGAAAAUGACCUACAGAGCCAGAUGUGAGCACAGGACAAUUUGGGAUUAAGAGAGAGGCUGAGGGAGGGCCUGACGAGCCUGGGUGCAGGUCAGUGUAGGCUGGCCUCAUUCAGGAGGGGAGCUGGGAGAGGGUGGCUCCAGCCAGGCCCCAAGAGGAGGCUCAAAUGGUCUGAAGAGGGAAGAGGAACCCCGAGCACAGAAGAGCUGUGGGGUGGCACAUCUGCUCUUAAGUCUGUUAAGCCAACAUGGAUCUGAUGCACCACAUACGACCACGUUUUUCAUCCCCAGGUCCCUGCCCUUUCUACACUUCUCCAUCAUUGGACAUUUUAAUAAAAGCAGGUGCUACCUUUGCUAUUAAAAACAUGUUCAUUUUUAAAAGACUGAGUUGAAGCCCUGGCAUGUGUGCUGGAGACAGGCAGGUGGGCAGACGGGAAGAACAAGCCCUAACGGUAAAGACUCCACAGACUGCAGCCCCAGGGGAAACUCUGGGAGCCUGGGUCAAAUCCAGAGGAACGUAGUGAGAGAAGGGAGAGGCCUCCACCCGGUUCUCUCUGGACCUGAGCUCCACCCUACCUCCUGCCCCAGUUCUCAGGGGCCUGCCCACCUUAACCAGCUUGUAGAAGGUCUCGUAGAUGAAGAUGAGGGAGAUGAGGAAGGCAAAGAUCUCCUGGGUGAAACGGGAGACAAAGCGCACCAGGAAGCUCCCCUCCAGGGCCACCAUGAGCAGCGCCAGAAGCACCAGCCAGAAGC
Choloepus didactylus (southern two-toed sloth) is the source of this 2669-nucleotide long non-coding RNA. RefSeq lists it as uncharacterized. The record is from RefSeq and is a predicted model, not a curated record. NCBI's taxonomy places the organism in Eukaryota, Metazoa, Chordata, Mammalia, Pilosa, Megalonychidae. The transcript is spliced from 3 exons.